RNAcentral lists this ribosomal RNA (468 nucleotides) under Selenomonas sp. oral taxon 140. RNAcentral describes it as "bacterial SSU rRNA". It matches the Rfam family "Bacterial small subunit ribosomal RNA", at positions 28 to 473 of the family's 1533-position model. Lineage: Bacteria; Bacillati; Bacillota; Negativicutes; Selenomonadales; Selenomonadaceae. The record is from RNAcentral.
GACGAACGCUGGCGGCGUGCCUAACACAUGCAAGUCGAACGGAGCGAAUGAAAGCUUGCUUUUAUAAGCUUAGUGGCAAACGGGUGAGUAACACGUAGACAACCUGCCGACAGGAUGGGGACAACAUUCCGAAAGGAAUGCUAAUACCGAAUGAAGUCAGAGAAGGGCAUCCUUUUCUGAUGAAAGAUGGCCUCUAUAUAUAAGCUAUCACCUGUUGAUGGGUCUGCGUCUGAUUAGCUGGUAGGUGAGGUAACGGCUCACCUAGGCGACGAUCAGUAGCCGGUCUGAGAGGAUGAACGGCCACAUUGGGACUGAGACACGGCCCAGACUCCUACGGGAGGCAGCAGUGGGGAAUCUUCCGCAAUGGGCGCAAGCCUGACGGAGCAACGCCGCGUGAGUGAAGAAGGUCUUCGGAUCGUAAAGCUCUGUUGAUGGGGACGAACGUGCCUAAUGCGAAUAGUAUUAGGU